RNAcentral lists this ribosomal RNA (264 nucleotides) under uncultured bacterium. RNAcentral describes it as "partial 16S ribosomal RNA". It matches the Rfam family "Bacterial small subunit ribosomal RNA", at positions 793 to 1055 of the family's 1533-position model. The record is from RNAcentral.
GUCCACGCCCUAAACGAUGAGUGCUAGAUAUCGGGGCUUAUGUCCUCGGUGUCGUAGUUAACGCGUUAAGCACUCCGCCUGGGAAGUACGAUCGCAAGAUUAAAACUCAAACGGAAUUGACGGGGACCCCGCACAAGCAGUGGAACAUGUGGUUUAAUUCGAUGCUACGCGAAAACCUUACCAGGCCUUGACAUAAUGGUUAAUUUGUAGAGAGAUCUACGAGUCGGUUCGGCCGGACCAUUACAGGUGUUGCAUGGCUGUCGU